GACGAACGCUGGCGGCGUGCUUAACACAUGCAAGUCGAACGGAAAGGCCCCUUUGGGGGUCCUCGAGUGGCGAACGGGUGAGUAACACGUGAGUAACCUGCCCUUGACUUCGGGAUAACUUCAGGAAACUGGGGCUAAUACCGGAUAGGAAUCCUUGCUGCAUGGUGGGGGUUGGAAAGCUUCGGCGGUUUUGGAUGGACUCGCGGCUUAUCAGCUUGUUGGUGGGGUAGUGGCUUACCAAGGCUUUGACGGGUAGCCGGCCUGAGAGGGCGACCGGCCACAUUGGGACUGAGAUACGGCCCAGACGCCGACGGGAGGCAGCAGUGGGGAAUAUUGCACAAUGGGCGGAAGCCUGAUGCAGCAACGCCGCGUGCGGGAUGACGGCCUUCGGGUUGUAAACCGCUUUCAGCAGGGGCGAAGCUUGUGGUGACGGUACCUGCAGAAGAAGCACCGGCUAACUACGUG
This 465-nucleotide ribosomal RNA is filed under the name uncultured bacterium. Its description in RNAcentral is "partial 16S ribosomal RNA". It matches the Rfam family "Bacterial small subunit ribosomal RNA", at positions 28 to 507 of the family's 1533-position model. The record is from RNAcentral.